UGGAGUUGCACUGACACCAAACUAGAUUCAAUAACUUGCGUUAGAUGCGAAUAAACCAUAAGAUUUUAGGAUAAGUUACAGAUUCUAGGCAUUUGAAGUUGCAAAAUGAUAUGGAGCAAGGUUCAAGAACAUGUCGAUAGAAUAUUGCACGCGAGAGCUAAAAUGUCACAGAUAAUGGGCUCAAUAUAAAGUGGGAAGCCACCGGAUCAUUACCUUCUUAAAAUGACGAUCACCAAA
Long non-coding RNA from Arabidopsis thaliana (thale cress), 237 nucleotides. RefSeq annotates it as other RNA. NCBI's taxonomy places the organism in Eukaryota, Viridiplantae, Streptophyta, Magnoliopsida, Brassicales, Brassicaceae. The record is from RefSeq. The transcript has a single exon.